This 406-nucleotide ribosomal RNA is filed under the name uncultured bacterium. RNAcentral's name for it is "partial 16S ribosomal RNA". It matches the Rfam family "Bacterial small subunit ribosomal RNA", at positions 30 to 526 of the family's 1533-position model. The record is from RNAcentral.
AUUGAACGCUGGCGGCAGGCCUAACACAUGCAAGUCGAACGAGUGGCGGACGGGUGAGUAAUGUCUGGGAAACUGCCCGCUGGAGGGGGAUAACUACUGGAAACGGUAGCUAAUACCGCAUACCAUCGGAUGUGCCCAGAUUGGAUUAGCUAGUAGGUGGGGUAACGGCUCACCUAGGCGACGAUCCCUAGCUGGUCUGAGAGGAGGACCAGCCACACUGGAACUGAGACACGUGCCAGAAUCCUACGUGAUGAAGCAGUGGGUAAUAUUGCACAAUUGGCGCAAGCCGGAUGCAGCCAGGCCGCGUGUAUGAAGAAGGCCUUCGGGUUGUAAAGUACUUUCAGCGAGGAGGCGUUACUCGCAGAAGAAGCACCGGCUAACUCCGUGCCAGCAGCCGCGGUAAUAC